GGGCCCGCACAAGCGGUGGAGCAUGUGGUUUAAUUCGAUGCAACGCGAAGAACCUUACCUACUCUUGACAUCCUGCGAAUUUGGUAGAGAUACCUUAGUGCCUUCGGGAACGCAGAGACAGGUGCUGCAUGGCUGUCGUCAGCUCGUGUUGUGAAAUGUUGGGUUAAGUCCCGUAACGAGCGCAACCCUUGUCCUUAUUUGCCAGCGCGUAAUGGCGGGAACUCUAAGGAGACUGCCGGUGACAAACCGGAGGAAGGUGGGGACGACGUCAAGUCAUCAUGGCCCUUACGAGUAGGGCUACACACGUGCUACAAUGGUCGGUACAAAGGGUUGCCAACUCGCGAGAGUGAGCCAAUCCCGAAAAGCCGAUCUCAGUCCGGAUCGGAGUCUGCAACUCGACUCCGUG
This 406-nucleotide ribosomal RNA is filed under the name uncultured bacterium. Its description in RNAcentral is "bacterial SSU rRNA". It matches the Rfam family "Bacterial small subunit ribosomal RNA", at positions 917 to 1322 of the family's 1533-position model. The record is from RNAcentral.